Molecule: small RNA, 127 nt
Filed under: Marmota monax (woodchuck)
Lineage: Eukaryota; Metazoa; Chordata; Mammalia; Rodentia; Sciuridae
Source: RNAcentral
GCUGGGUGCAGUAGUGCACGCCUGUAAUCCCAGCCGCUCUGGAGGCUGAGAUAGGAGGAUUAUGUGUUUGAAGCCAGCUUCAACAAUUUAGUGAGGCCCUAAGCAACUCAUUGAGACCCUGUCUCUA